This 292-nucleotide ribosomal RNA is filed under the name uncultured bacterium. Its description in RNAcentral is "partial 16S ribosomal RNA". The record is from RNAcentral.
GGACUACCGGGGUAUCUAAUCCUGUUUGCUCCCCACGCUUUCGCGCCUGAGCGUCAGCAGUCGGCCAGGGCACUGCCUUCGCCAUUGGUGUUCUUCCGGAUCUCUACGCAUUUCACCGCUCCACCCGGAGUUCCAUGCCCCUCUCCGACGCUCAAGCUCACCCGUCUUCCAGAACCUCUCCGAGUUUAGCUCGGAGCUUUCACCUGGAACGCGGCAAGCCGCCUGCGCGCCCUUUACGCCCAGUAACUCCGGACAACGCUCGCCUCCUACGUAUUACCGCGGCGGCUGGCAC